This is a non-coding RNA of Phrynosoma platyrhinos (Desert horned lizard), 72 nucleotides long. NCBI's taxonomy places the organism in Eukaryota, Metazoa, Chordata, Lepidosauria, Squamata, Phrynosomatidae. The record is from the annotation of a GenBank genome assembly.
GCCAGCAUGGUGUAGUGGUUUGGAUGUUGGACUAGGACUCCAAAGACCAGGGUUCAAAUCUGUGCCCGGCCA